UAACCAAGGAUGGCAUUCAAGCACUAG
RNAcentral lists this non-coding RNA (27 nucleotides) under Mus musculus (house mouse). Lineage: Eukaryota; Metazoa; Chordata; Mammalia; Rodentia; Muridae. The record is from RNAcentral.